Molecule: ribosomal RNA, 118 nt
Filed under: Periophthalmus magnuspinnatus
Lineage: Eukaryota; Metazoa; Chordata; Actinopteri; Gobiiformes; Gobiidae
Source: RNAcentral
UUUUGUGGCUAAACCUCCUUGUCAAAGUCUGAUCCUGUUAGAUCUCAGAAGUUAAGCAGGGCUGGGCCUGACUAGUACUUGGAUGGGAGACCACUGGGAGCACCAGGUGGCACUGGGG